AACGAACGCUGGCGGCAUGCCUAACACAUGCAAGUCGAACGAGACCUUCGGGUCUAGUGGCGCACGGGUGCGUAACGCGUGGGAACCUGCCCUUAGGUUCGGAAUAACUCCCCGAAAGGGGUGCUAAUACCGGAUAAUGUCUUCGGACCAAAGAUUUAUCGCCUUUGGAUGGGCCCGCGUUGGAUUAGCUAGUUGGUAGGGUAAAAGCCUACCAAGGCGACGAUCCAUAGCUGGUCUGAGAGGAUGAUCAGCCACACUGGGACUGAGACACGGCCCAGACUCCUACGGGAGGCAGCAAUGGGGAAUAUUGGACAAUGGGCGGAAGCCUGAUCCAGCCAUGCCGCGUGAGUGAUGAAGGCCUUAGGGUUGUAAAGCUCUUUUACCCGGGAUGAUAAUGACAGUACCGGGAGAAUAAGCCCCGGCUAACUCCGUG
RNAcentral lists this ribosomal RNA (433 nucleotides) under uncultured bacterium. Its description in RNAcentral is "partial 16S ribosomal RNA". It matches the Rfam family "Bacterial small subunit ribosomal RNA", at positions 29 to 507 of the family's 1533-position model. The record is from RNAcentral.